Molecule: ribosomal RNA, 693 nt
Filed under: Careproctus sp. FAKU 131686
Lineage: Eukaryota; Metazoa; Chordata; Actinopteri; Perciformes; Liparidae
Description: partial 16S rRNA
Rfam family: Bacterial large subunit ribosomal RNA
Source: RNAcentral
GUUUGAUACCCCGAAACUACGUGAGCUACUUCAAGACAGCCUAUUAAUAGGGCAAACCCAUCUCUGUGGCAAAAGCGUGGGAAGAACUUUGAGUAGAGGUGACAAACCUACCGAACCUAGUUAUAGCUGGUUGUCCAAGAAAUGAAUAGAAGUUCAGCCUCUAAGCUUCUCUUUUCACCUGAGCUUAACUCCUUUAGAUGUAUUAAAGAAACUAAGAAAGUUAGUCAAAGGGGGUACAGCUCCUUUGAAUCAAGACACAACUUUAACAGGCGGGUAAAGAUCAUAGUAACCAAAGCUAAACAUUCUGGUGGGCCUAAAAGCAGCCAUCCCUUAGAAAGCGUUAAAGCUCAGACAUAUUCUUAUACCUUAUUAUCUUGAUCAAUAAAUCUCACCCCCCUAACCAUACUGGACCCUCCCCUGCCCCCAGGGGUGUGAUUAUGCUAAUAUGAGUAAUAAGAGAGCCCCGCCUCUCUCCCUGCACACGUGUAUCUCGGAACAGACAAUCCACCGACCAUUAACGGCCCCAAACAAAGAGGGCCCUAGAUCCUAACUCAAAACCUAGUAAAGCAUCUAAAAAUUAACCGUUAACCCCACACAGGUGUGCCCCAAGGAAAGACUUAAAGAAAGAGAAGGAACUCGGCAAACACAUUAAGCCUCGCCUGUUUACCAAAAACAUCGCCUCUUGUGCCCCCU